GUAGUCCACGCCGUAAACGAUGAGAACUAGGUGUAGCGGGUAUUGACCCCUGCUGUGCCGAAGUUAACGCAUUAAGUUCUCCGCCUGGGGAGUACGGCCGCAAGGCUAAAACUCAAAGGAAUUGACGGGGACCCGCACAAGCGGUGGAGCAUGUGGUUUAAUUCGACGCAACGCGAAGAACCUUACCUGGAUUUGACAUCCUCUGACCUCCAUGGAAACAUGGCUUUUUAUGCUUGCAUAAACAGAGUGACAGGUGCUGCAUGGCUGUCGUCAGCUCGUGUCGUGAGAUGUUGGGUUAAGUCCCGCAACGAGCGCAACCCUUGUUUUUAGUUGCUAUUAUUAAGUUAAGCACUCUAGAAAUACUGCCUCGGUUAACGGGGAGGAAGGUGGGGAUGACGUCAAGUCCUCAUGGCCUUUAUAUCCAGGGCUACACACGUGCUACAAUGGGCUGUACAAAGAGUUGCCACUUCGCGAGAAGGAGCUAAUCUCAAAAAGCAGUUCUCAGUUCGGAUUGGAGUCUGCAACUCGACUCCAUGAAGUUGGAAUCGCUAGUAAUCGUGGAUCAGCAUGCCACGGUGAAUACGUUCCCGGGUCUUGUACACACCGCCCGUCACACCACGAAAGUCGGCUGUACCAGAAGUUGCUGGGCUAACCCUUCUGGGAUGCAGGUACCUAAGGUACGGUCGGUAAUUGGGGUG
This 698-nucleotide ribosomal RNA is filed under the name uncultured bacterium. RNAcentral's name for it is "bacterial SSU rRNA". It matches the Rfam family "Bacterial small subunit ribosomal RNA", at positions 790 to 1482 of the family's 1533-position model. The record is from RNAcentral.